AAACUUCUACAGCUCAACCUCCUCAGAACAAGAUCAUCACUGCACCUGCCACAACCUCACUUAGAAGCACAGAACCUGCCUUUCACUCACCAUGAAUAAUCCGAUCACAGUGAGAAGAUUUGAAAUACCACAGGGUGCAACAGUUUAUUAUCACGGAAGAAUUAAAGAUUUAACGCUGCAGUUGCAUCCUGACACGCUCUUUGAACACCUGACAAAUGAUAACACCAGAUGCUCCAUGAUCUUCCUAACUCAUCAUCCAGAUAUUUGGAUAAAAACAUUGAGAGAUUUUUACCCAGAGUUUAACCAACAGCCAGGUGGGAGAAAUACUGAAAUGAUACGCUUGGGAAACCAAGUUGGAAAUAUUCGUCUGUUUCCCAAAUCUGGGAAGUUUUUAAUUUUGAGAGACUCUAAUUUUGAUGUAUUUAUAAGAGAUUUUCAAACAUUGAGAGCGAAUGUAGAGAAUAUUCGUUUAAUUAGAGGAACUUUACAAGAAAUUCCAGACCCUGCAUUACAGAAGCAAAGAGAUAAUGUUACAAAAAACGCCCAGAAAGCAGCCAACGCCAGACAAAAAAGAAGAAAAAAACACACGAUAAAAAGAAGAAACGGAAGAAGAAACAGAAAAAACAGAAGGAGAAAGAGAAGAUGAAGAUAUUAGCAACAUUAAUCCCACGGUCUCCUCAGCUCUUGGCAACUUUGCAUUGUUUGUGUUUGUGUGUGUGUGUUAGGCCUGUAACAAUAACAGAUUUUGCUUGACGAUUAAUUGACCAAGAAAUUAUUCUGAUAAGCAACAAUAUUGACAACUAAUAUAAUGAUAAUGGAAUAAAAAUGCAAAUACACCCUUUCAAAUAAACUUUAUUGUCUAAAAGAGCAUUUAACACAGUAACUGCAAGACAACCAAAAUUAAC
This is a long non-coding RNA of Boleophthalmus pectinirostris (great blue-spotted mudskipper), 905 nucleotides long. RefSeq lists it as uncharacterized. The transcript is spliced from 4 exons. The record is from RefSeq and is a predicted model, not a curated record. NCBI's taxonomy places the organism in Eukaryota, Metazoa, Chordata, Actinopteri, Gobiiformes, Gobiidae.